CUUGGUCUAUUGCUAACUAAUCUGAUGGAUGGUUUUGCUAACUAACCCUAAAUCUAAGCUAUUAAUUACAUAGUAUGCUACUAACUAAACUAAGAUCAUAAAUUAGGGCAGACUAACAAAAGGAAUGUUAGCUAGGAGUCUCCCGCUCAAAUACCAAGAAAGUUGACGGCUACGCGGACCAAUUCCUUGGAACCUUUGCCGGGACCGAAAACUCCUGAUGCUUCGCCUGGAAUUCUCCUAGCAAACCCUCUCUAUUUCAUCUAACAUAAACUAUUGUAACAAACAUUAAUUCUAAACUAACCUAUGGCUAUCAAUCCUAAUCUAUAGAUUCUUGACUGAGUCCCAGAUUAGUCCCGAAUCUGUUUGCCUUCUCGGGGCACAAUCCAGAUCUUUGGCAAACGUAGAGGACUCUUAAACGUAACCCUACGUGACCUAAAACUAAAUCGUACUGCUAAAGUAAAUGCUAUGUUUCUUUUUCGGGCCCCACGUUGGGCGCCAUUUUGUCCUGUCCUGGUCCAAUAAAUGCAAGAAUUUCCUGACCGCUUGUCGCUGUGCUGGCAUGGUGGCGUAUGCGCGGCUAGUGCCCGCCGGAUGGGGUGGUUCUUUGCGCAAGCGUGUCACAUGAGCAGGAACAAAAAGUUUUACAUGCCAGGCUUACUAUGUAAAAGAAAAGGGAUGUUUGGCCCGAAAAAGAAACUACUAACCUAAGAUGUCUAAAUAAAAAUGAGGAAGCACCACACCUACCUUUUGGAAGCCUUCUCGCCUGGUGUUCUGGCGAGGAUAAUGCCCUCCCUCUGGAGUCGGAGCUCCACCAUAGCAACUUUCAAGUCAGUUGCCCCGUACCUACCUCUUCACCUUAUCACCCCCUUCCCAUCUCCCUCUUCUCAAGAUCUACAUGAUUUCAAUAAAAUUCAUCGUCUUUUCGUAAACGUUACAAACAUUUCAGGUAGUUCCUUUAUUUAUAAAAGAUGGUUAAUUUAUGAUGACCACAUGAAAAAUUCAGAAAAACAAGAGGCAUCAUCCAAAAAUCAUAAUAAAAAAGGAAACUCGAAACAUUAGGUGGGUAUGGCUAGCUUCAAACAGAUCUAAUGGCAUCCCAUCUCUUCUUUCGGGGCUCCUGCCGCUGAGUAAGUUAGGCUGUGCCCACAAUGGCAGCUUACUCCGUCUGUCCGUCUAUGUCCGUCCGAAUAUUGUAAAGUUCAAGGUAAGUAAAAGGGGUAUUAUAAAAAAAUAAAAGGGGUAUUUGGAAUUAGUUUUCUUAUUUCAUAUCUGAUUUUUUUUUCUUUUCUUCUUUUAGGCCUUUACCACGCCCGAAAGGACGGCAUCUUCAAAGUACUAGCUUGGAACAAAGAUCCCUAUGGAGACUUCCUACCUGCCUAGAGAGAGCUCUAUCUAUUGGGGAAGGGUAAAUACCGUAUAAUACUGUGGAUGAUAAUCUGUACGUCCGUCCGUCCGAAUGUUUAGUGUUAAGUAUAACGAGUUAAGGGUCUAUGUAAGCCGUCACCUGGAGCACUGCGGUCUGCGAGCGCUUUUGAAGGAGGUCCCACGCUGGUGCAGAGGAGAUGAGCCGUUGGCGAGCAGCGUUUUUUUUUUAUUUACUUUUAAUUCAAAAUUUUAGUUUAAUCUUUAGUUAUUUAUUCAGUCUUUUUUUUCCUUUUUUUGUUAAGUUUAUAAUUAAGUUUCUUUCUUUAGUUUGAAAUUUAUUUUCCAAUAAGUGUUUUUAAUUCAGUUCCUUUUUUUUCACUCUUUAGAGUUAGGUAUUAAUGUAGUUUUAAGAAUAGUUUUUAUGGUAAUUUUAAGGUUAUUUGGUAAUUCAGUUUGUAAGAUGCUUUUUUUUUGUUUAGCUGUUGCAAUUUCUUUUUUCUUCAGUAAUAAAGGAUUCGAAAUUUUCUAAAUUGGUUUUCCUCUUUGUUUUUUUUUUUAAUAUUUUUUUUGUUUCUCCUUUUUUUUUGGAAUUCAGUUAAUUUUUCAUGUUUGUAAUUUAAAAUAAAAGUGCCCUUUUCAAUCUUGGGCUUCUAGAGGUUUUAUCCCA
Molecule: long non-coding RNA, 2032 nt
Organism: Stomoxys calcitrans (stable fly)
Lineage: Eukaryota; Metazoa; Arthropoda; Insecta; Diptera; Muscidae
Exons: 2
Source: RefSeq, a predicted model, not a curated record